RNAcentral lists this small RNA (68 nucleotides) under Sporolactobacillus nakayamae. RNAcentral describes it as "Bacillaceae-1 RNA". It matches the Rfam family "Bacillaceae-1 RNA". The record is from RNAcentral. Lineage: Bacteria; Bacillati; Bacillota; Bacilli; Caryophanales; Sporolactobacillaceae.
UACUGAGGAUCUUCUGCUAGAAACGUGUACGUCCUGUACACAACGCAGAAGUCACCGCAUCCUGCGAA